CUCCUCGUCCGGCUGUUGCCUGCGCUGUGAGAGCUAGUUCCGUCUCCUCGCUUUUCUUUGUGCGCGCUGCUACUGCUUCGGCGUGCGUUCGGCUUUUUUCGCCAUAUUUGCCUUUUUGUGUGUGGCGCGUUGGAAGGCCGCGAAGACGCAAUCAAGGAACGUGUGGGCAUCGAGCUGCAGCCGAAAAUCAACUGCAGCGGGUUAAGUUUGCAGGCCAGGUCUCGAAAAAUUUUCAAGGGUCAGCGUGGAUCUUGUGGCAACUCUGAAUAUUUGGCCACGGAUAUCAACUCAAUUUUGAAGCUCCAUCAAGCAAGGCAAGCUCUCCACAUGCGCCCAAGGCAUGUCUGCGGCACGUCGUCACAUCGUCAGCGCAGAUGGUUCAUAGGCGCAUACUUCUAAGCUAGACUGCCUGCAAACUUCGUUUACUACCAUGAUUUUUUGUCAUUUUUGCCAGACUCCAGUGCUGAACUUGUACAAAUAUGAGACACACUACAAAAUUCAUUCCAAUGUUCAUAACACUAACAUACCGUGCAUAAAUAAGGGCUGCUCCAAACAUUUCAGAACAUUUAAUGCGCUGCGUGUGCAUGUUUCACGCAGUCAUGUUACAGAUGUUGCUUCUCCAACUUCAUCAGGAGAAGCAUUUAGCUGUCCUCAUACAUUCUGUGAUGCCCAGUUUCUCUUUAAGAAAGAUGUUGUUACGCAUGUUAAAAAACACAUUUCUUCUGGUGUUGCCACAGCAUGUUGUUUUGUUGACUGCAAAAAAGAGUUUUCAAACGCGAAAUCUUUCACUUCUCAUGUAAGUCGCUGUCAUGGCAGCAGUUUGUGUCCAAGGCGCAGUGUGGCACAAUGUGAAGAUUUUGCUGCACCUAGCAGUGUAGAUGACUGCACUACUGUUCAUCUAGCAUCUUCAGACACUGCAGACUCUAGUGCGCUGUCUUGGCAAACAAGAAAUGCAGCCCUGUUUUUAAUGAAAUUGGAAUCAUUUCACCUUGUACCGUCAUCCGUGGUGCAGAGUAUCAGUGCUGAAAUUCAUUCUAUGAAUUUAUUGUCUGCAGACCACAGGCUCAAUGUUAUUGGUCAGAUACUUCACGAACACAACGUAGAUGACGAAGCAUCUGGCAAGAUUUUCUCUGCAUUAAGCAAUGAAGAAACCCCUUUUAAUACAGUUGGUGGUGUGUUGCGAAGUAAAUAUUCACGGCACGACUGUUAUAAAAAGGAAUUUAAAAUGAUAGAGCCAGUCGAGAUUACCUUUAAGAAUGAACGAAGUAUUCAUUAUGUGCCAAUUAAGCAGUCUCUUGCUGCGAUGCUUGCAGAUGUCUCGGUGAAACAAGCAUUAAACAAGAAUGCUGUUUGUGACAGCCAGUAUCUUUCCGGCUUCAAUGAUGGAACCCUGUGUAGAGAGUCUGCCUACUUGCAGCAGAACAGUGGCGCUAUUCAGCUGCUCUUGUACCAGGACGCAUUUGAAGUGGCAAAUCCUCUUGGGUCGGCAAGAAAAAAGCACAAAGUUAUGGGGAUGUAUUACAGUGUUGCCAACCUUCCGUCACACUUUACCACAAAGGUGCAUAAUAUUCAGUUAGUGAUGAUUUGUUAUGAGUCAACACUUGUGAAUCUAGGCCACCAUGCUGUGAUGAAGACAGUUGUUGCAGAACUUAAGGACCUUGAAGAAAAUGGAAUUAUUGUGGGAAGUGAUCACUUCAAAUGUGCCUUGGUUGCUAUCCUGGGUGACAAUUUGGGAAGCCAUGGAAUUGGUGGCUUCACAGAAAACUUUUCUACAUCAAGGUGGUUUUGCCGAUACUGUGAGGUCACGAAGGAGGACUUUCUCAACAACCCCCAUUUGCUGGGGCGGCAACGCUCACGUGAUGAGCAUAAUAACUGUGUGAGCAUGGCCGAACAGGGUUACGUUGACUUGGCAAAAGGAGUGAAAUUUGACUCUGCUUUUAAUGCCUUGCAGUCUUUUCAUGUGACAUCUGGGCUGCCACCGUGUGCUGCUCAUGACAUUUUAGAAGGGAUCGCUCCAUUUGAUUUGUCACUAAUUGUGAAGCACCUUGUUCAUAAAAAAAAAUGGUUUACAGUUGCGCAGCUUAAUGAGCGAAUCAAGAAUAUAUCCCUAAGCCGUCGGGACGCUAAAAGCAGGCCAGCAACGCUUAUGAAUAACAACAGCUGUAAAGUGCGUGGGCAAGCAGUUGAAAUCUAUUACUUGAUACGACUGCUGCCUAUUCUCAUCCAUGAUAAAAUACUUGACUGUGAAGACGAGGUAUGGAGCUUGUACUUGAUGUUAAAGUCUAUUACUAUUAUAGUUAUGUCUCCCAAGCUUCAUAUUACUCAGGUUGAGUACCUCAGGGUUCUUAUUGGUGAAUACAUCACUGAAAGAGUUAGACUUUUUGCAGCAGUGCCUCUGCGACCCAAACAUCAUUUUUUGAGCCAUUACCCCGAUCUCUGUUAUCGUUUCGGUCCAUUGGUGCACUCAUCAACAUUGCGUUUUGAAAGUAAGCAUUCAUACUUCAAGCGCAUUAUCCGAGCCUCACAGAAUUUCAAGAAUAUUACACUUACAAUGGCGAGCAAGCAUGAAAUGCUUCAAGCAUAUUGUAGGGCAGGAAAUGUUAUCCCUGACGAUUUGGUGCAAGAAAAGUGCUUUGCAUUGCAGUCAGGGAUUAUAGAUUCCAGAAUAGUGCGUGCACUUCACUCUCAAUUCCCAGCACCAGAGUCAGCAGAACUAAGCCUUCAAUUAACCUACAAGGGUACUACCUAUGAAGCUGGCUCUGUUAUAUUGUAUUGUGUGGGUGGGUGUUUGAAGGGAGCAAAGAUUAGCUGCUGUGUAUCCGUUGAACGGAGCAUUUCUUUCAUUGGUGCACCUUGCACAAUCGAAGAAUGGGGUGGCAGAGGCCUUAAGGUGGUAACCUUCACAAACAAGGAUCUGGUGUGUGUGAAAUAUGAACAGCUUGUUCACAGGAGUUCAUUGAAUGUGUAUGCUUGUGCCUCUAGGAAUGUCCUGACUCUUAAUCAUGAUGUUGACUUUGUUCAUUUUGUGUGAAAGGAGUGUUUCUUGGAUUACACAUUAUACUUGCGGGAGAUUUAGUCGAUAUUAGCCGAAUACACGUUUCUUUUUUUUUAAUAAGUGCCAUAGAGUAGUGAGAUUUCUUGCGCCUUUGGGGUUUCCCGGCCCAUUUCAUAACACAUGUUAGUUAUUCUGUAGUUCCAGUAUAAAGUAGAAAACAGAUUUUUGUGCAAAACCCUUCUGCAAAGCCCUGCAGUAGUACUGGACACCUCUUCAACCCUGUAAGAGUACUGUGAUUAGUGUGGUGAUUAUUGUUAUCUUGUUUUGUGCACAUACCUUAAAUAAAUGAAGUUACAACUUGAA
Dermacentor albipictus is the source of this 3358-nucleotide non-coding RNA. NCBI's taxonomy places the organism in Eukaryota, Metazoa, Arthropoda, Arachnida, Ixodida, Ixodidae. The record is from RefSeq and is a predicted model, not a curated record.